UACGAAGGGGGCUAGCGUUGUUCGGAAUUACUGGGCGUAAAGCGCACGUAGGCGGACUGUUUAGUCAGAGGUGAAAGCCCGGAGCUCAACUCCGGAAUUGCCUUUGAUACUGGCAGUCUCGAGGCCGAGAGAGGUGAGUGGAACUCCGAGUGUAGAGGUGAAAUUCGUAGAUAUUCGGAAGAACACCAGUGGCGAAGGCGGCUCACUGGCUCGGUACUGACGCUGAGGUGCGAAAGCGUGGGGAGCAAACAGG
RNAcentral lists this unclassified non-coding RNA (253 nucleotides) under uncultured Alphaproteobacteria bacterium. RNAcentral describes it as "contains 16S-23S intergenic spacer region". It matches the Rfam family "Bacterial small subunit ribosomal RNA", at positions 524 to 776 of the family's 1533-position model. The record is from RNAcentral. Lineage: Bacteria; Pseudomonadati; Pseudomonadota; Alphaproteobacteria.